This 84-nucleotide transfer RNA is filed under the name Capsosiphon fulvescens. RNAcentral's name for it is "tRNA-Leu". It matches the Rfam family "tRNA". From Rfam's summary of the family: Transfer RNA (tRNA) molecules are approximately 80 nucleotides in length. The record is from RNAcentral. Lineage: Eukaryota; Viridiplantae; Chlorophyta; Ulvophyceae; Ulotrichales; Ulotrichaceae.
GGGGAUUUGGCGGAAUGGUAGACGCAGCGGACUUAAAAUCCGCCGAUUGGAUAAAUCGUGAGGGUUCAAGUCCCUUAGUCCCCA